Molecule: unclassified non-coding RNA, 1523 nt
Filed under: Homo sapiens (human)
Lineage: Eukaryota; Metazoa; Chordata; Mammalia; Primates; Hominidae
Description: ATP binding cassette subfamily B member 11 (ENSG00000276582.1)
Source: RNAcentral
GCUGCCGGCUCUCAGAUCGGGAUGAUAGUCAAUUCCUUCACUAACGUCACUGUGGCCAUGAUCAUUGCCUUCUCCUUUAGCUGGAAGCUGAGCCUGGUCAUCUUGUGCUUCUUCCCCUUCUUGGCUUUAUCAGGAGCCACACAGACCAGGAUGUUGACAGGAUUUGCCUCUCGAGAUAAGCAGGCCCUGGAGAUGGUGGGACAGAUUACAAAUGAAGCCCUCAGUAACAUCCGCACUGUUGCUGGAAUUGGAAAGGAGAGGCGGUUCAUUGAAGCACUUGAGACUGAGCUGGAGAAGCCCUUCAAGACAGCCAUUCAGAAAGCCAAUAUUUACGGAUUCUGCUUUGCCUUUGCCCAGUGCAUCAUGUUUAUUGCGAAUUCUGCUUCCUACAGAUAUGGAGGUUACUUAAUCUCCAAUGAGGGGCUCCAUUUCAGCUAUGUGUUCAGGGUGAUCUCUGCAGUUGUACUGAGUGCAACAGCUCUUGGAAGAGCCUUCUCUUACACCCCAAGUUAUGCAAAAGCUAAAAUAUCAGCUGCACGCUUUUUUCAACUGCUGGACCGACAACCCCCAAUCAGUGUAUACAAUACUGCAGGUGAAAAAUGGGACAACUUCCAGGGGAAGAUUGAUUUUGUUGAUUGUAAAUUUACAUAUCCUUCUCGACCUGACUCGCAAGUUCUGAAUGGUCUCUCAGUGUCGAUUAGUCCAGGGCAGACACUGGCGUUUGUUGGGAGCAGUGGAUGUGGCAAAAGCACUAGCAUUCAGCUGUUGGAACGUUUCUAUGAUCCUGAUCAAGGGAAGGUGGAACCAGUGUUGUUUGCCUGUAGCAUAAUGGACAAUAUCAAGUAUGGAGACAACACCAAAGAAAUUCCCAUGGAAAGAGUCAUAGCAGCUGCAAAACAGGCUCAGCUGCAUGAUUUUGUCAUGUCACUCCCAGAGAAAUAUGAAACUAACGUUGGGUCCCAGGGGUCUCAACUCUCUAGAGGGGAGAAACAACGCAUUGCUAUUGCUCGGGCCAUUGUACGAGAUCCUAAAAUCUUGCUACUAGAUGAAGCCACUUCUGCCUUAGACACAGAAAGUGAAAAGACGGUGCAGGUUGCUCUAGACAAAGCCAGAGAGGGUCGGACCUGCAUUGUCAUUGCCCAUCGCUUGUCCACCAUCCAGAACGCGGAUAUCAUUGCUGUCAUGGCACAGGGGGUGGUGAUUGAAAAGGGGACCCAUGAAGAACUGAUGGCCCAAAAAGGAGCCUACUACAAACUAGUCACCACUGGAUCCCCCAUCAGUUGACCCAAUGCAAGAAUCUCAGACACACAUGACGCACCAGUUACAGGGGUUGUUUUUAAAGAAAAAAACAAUCCCAGCAGGAGGGAUUGCUGGGAUUGUUUUUUCUUUAAAGAAGAAUGUUAAUAUUUUACUUUUACAGUCAUUUUCCUACAUCGGAAUCCAAGCUAAUUUCUAAUGGCCUUCCAUAAUAAUUCUGCUUUAGAUGUGUAUACAGAAAAUGAAAGAAACUAGGGUCCAUAUGA